GACGAACGCUGGCGGCGUGCUUAACACAUGCAAGUCGAACGGAAAGGCCCCUUUGGGGGUACUCGAGUGGCGAACGGGUGAGUAACACGUGAGUAACCUGCCCUUGACUUCGGGAUAACUUCAGGAAACUGGGGCUAAUACCGGAUAGGAAUCCUUGCUGCAUGGUGGGGGUUGGAAAGCUUCGGCGGUUUUGGAUGGACUCGCGGCUUAUCAGCUUGUUGGUGGGGUAGUGGCUUACCAAGGCUUUGACGGGUAGCCGGCCUGAGAGGGCGACCGGCCACAUUGGGACUGAGGGGCGGCCCAGACUCCUACGGGAGGCAGCAGUGGGGAAUAUUGCACAAUGGGCGGAAGCCUGAUGCAGCAACGCCGCGUGCGGGAUGACGGCCUUCGGGUUGUAAACCGCUUUCAGCAGGGGCGAAGCUUGUGGUGACGGUACCUGCAGAAGAAGCACCGGCUAACUACGUG
RNAcentral lists this ribosomal RNA (465 nucleotides) under uncultured bacterium. RNAcentral describes it as "partial 16S ribosomal RNA". It matches the Rfam family "Bacterial small subunit ribosomal RNA", at positions 28 to 507 of the family's 1533-position model. The record is from RNAcentral.